GUGAAUCAUCAAAUUUUUGAACGCAAAUGGCGCUUCCUGGCAUCCCAGGAAGUAUGCCUGUUUGAUGUUCAGUAUUAAUAAAAAAGCGUGUUAUUUACAAAUUGUUACGUUUCCGGAGUUUGUGCUAUCUUAACAUUUUUAGUUAAGAGGCUUAAAAUUGACCUUUUUUGCGCAUUUUUAAACGUACAUAAAUUUUUUUUAUUCGUCUAUUCUUAAUGCCAAAUUCUUAUUAGAUGCGAUCACAGCGUGUGGUUUCGUGUCCAUAAAAUUUUCAUGAUUGGACCUC
RNAcentral lists this unclassified non-coding RNA (286 nucleotides) under Glomeraceae sp. RNAcentral describes it as "partial internal transcribed spacer 2". The stretch from base 1 to 71 matches the Rfam family "5.8S ribosomal RNA", at positions 84 to 154 of the family's 154-position model. The record is from RNAcentral. Lineage: Eukaryota; Fungi; Glomeromycota; Glomeromycetes; Glomerales; Glomeraceae.